RNAcentral lists this small nuclear RNA (103 nucleotides) under Arabidopsis lyrata subsp. lyrata. Lineage: Eukaryota; Viridiplantae; Streptophyta; Magnoliopsida; Brassicales; Brassicaceae. The record is from RNAcentral.
GUCCCUUCGGGGACAUCCGAUAAAAUUGGAACGAUACAGAGAAGAUUAGCAUGGUCCCUGUGCAAGGAUGACACGCAUAAAUCGAGAAAUGAUCCAAAUUUAU